GACGUAGGGCGCGAGCGUUGUCCGGAUUUAUUGGGCGUAAAGAGCUCGUAGGCGGCUUGUCGCGUCAACUGUGAAAACCCGUGGCUCAACCAUGUGGUCUGCAGUCGAUACGGGCAGGCUAGAAUUCGGUAGGGGAGACUGGAAUUCCUGGUGUAGCGGUGAAAUGCGCAGAUAUCAGGAGGAACACCAGUGGCGAAGGCGACUUCCUGGCCUGUUCUUGACGCUGAGGCGCGAAAGCUAGGGGAGCAAACGGG
RNAcentral lists this ribosomal RNA (254 nucleotides) under uncultured bacterium. Its description in RNAcentral is "partial 16S ribosomal RNA". It matches the Rfam family "Bacterial small subunit ribosomal RNA", at positions 524 to 776 of the family's 1533-position model. The record is from RNAcentral.